GACGAACGCUGGCGGCGUGCCUAAUACAUGCAAGUCGAGGGACCGGCGCACGGGUGAGUAACACGUGUCCAACCUGCCCUUUACUCGGGGAUAGCCUUUCGCAAGAAAGAUUAAUACCCGAUAUAAAGGAUGGGGAUGCGUUCCAUUAGGUUGUUGGUUAGGUAACGGCUCACCAAGCCUUCGAUGGAUAGGGGUUCUGAGAGGAAGGUCCCUCACAUUGGAACUGAGACACGGUCCAAACUCCUACGGGAGGCAGCAGUUCGGAAUAUUGGUCAAUCAGCGCUAGACUGGACCAGCAGAGUAGCGUGAAGGAUUAAGGCUUAUGGGUCGUAAACUUCUUUUAUAUAAGAAUAGGUACUAUAUGAAUAAGGAGCGGCUAACUCCGUGCCAGCAGCCGCGGUAAUAC
RNAcentral lists this ribosomal RNA (406 nucleotides) under uncultured bacterium. RNAcentral's name for it is "partial 16S ribosomal RNA". It matches the Rfam family "Bacterial small subunit ribosomal RNA", at positions 28 to 526 of the family's 1533-position model. The record is from RNAcentral.